ACAUCUAGUAGUCACAUAAUAUCACACAUGCAAGAUGCAAUUGUGCUUAGUACCAAAUGUUAUGCUCCCACAGAAGUUCAAGGAACCUUGUCGCAUUACGCGAAAAACCGGCGGGAAACGAAAACAACAGAGCCGCCACCGUGCGUUAUUUAUCCCAAAAGGGGGAAAGGAAACGCUGGAAGUAAACCUGGGAAAGACAUGGUCUCAC
RNAcentral lists this long non-coding RNA (208 nucleotides) under Lathyrus oleraceus (garden pea). Its description in RNAcentral is "Pisum sativum (pea) long non-coding RNA (PSAT_LNC006130)". Lineage: Eukaryota; Viridiplantae; Streptophyta; Magnoliopsida; Fabales; Fabaceae. The record is from RNAcentral.